AUUGAACGCUGGCGGCAGGCCUAACACAUGCAAGUCGAGCGGAUGAAGGGAGCUUGCUCCUGGAUUCAGCGGCGGACGGGUGAGUAAUGCCUAGGAAUCUGCCUGGUAGUGGGGGAUAACGUCCGGAAACGGGCGCUAAUACCGCAUACGUCCUGAGGGAGAAAGUGGGGGAUCUUCGGACCUCACGCUAUCAUAUGAGCCUAGGUCGGAUUAGCUAGUUGGUGGGGUAAAGGCCUACCAAGGCGACGAUCCGUAACUGGUCUGAGAGGAUGAUCAGUCACACUGGAACUGAGAAACGGUCCAGACUCCUACGGGAGGCAGCAGUGGGGAAUAUUGGACAAUGGGCGAAAGCCUGAUCCAGCCAUGCCGCGUGUGUGAAGAAGGUCUUCGGAUUGUAAAGCACUUUAAGUUGGGAGGAAGGGCAGUAAGUUAAUACCUUGCUGUUUUGACGUUACCAACAGAAUAAGCACCGGCUAACUUCGUG
This 484-nucleotide ribosomal RNA is filed under the name uncultured bacterium. RNAcentral describes it as "partial 16S ribosomal RNA". It matches the Rfam family "Bacterial small subunit ribosomal RNA", at positions 30 to 507 of the family's 1533-position model. The record is from RNAcentral.